GACGAACGCUGGCGGCGUGCCUAAUACAUGCAAGUAGAACGCUGAAGGGGGAGCUUGCUUCUCUGGAUGAGUUGCGAACGGGUGAGUAACGCGUAGGUAACCUGCCUGGUAGCGGGGGAUAACUAUUGGAAACGAUAGCUAAUACCGCAUAAUAGCAGUUAUUGCAUGAUAACUGUUUGAAAGGUGCAAUUGCACCACUACCAGAUGGACCUGCGUUGUAUUAGCUAGUUGGUGGGGUAACGGCUCACCAAGGCGACGAUACAUAGCCGACCUGAGAGGGUGAUCGGCCACACUGGGACUGAGACACGGCCCAGACUCCUACGGGAGGCAGCAGUAGGGAAUCUUCGGCAAUGGACGGAAGUCUGACCGAGCAACGCCGCGUGAGUGAAGAAGGUUUUCGGAUCGUAAAGCUCUGUUGUAAGAGAAGAACGAGUGUGAGAGUGGAAAGUUCACACUGUGACGGUAUCUUACCAGAAAGGGACGGCUAACUACGUG
This 495-nucleotide ribosomal RNA is filed under the name uncultured bacterium. RNAcentral describes it as "partial 16S ribosomal RNA". It matches the Rfam family "Bacterial small subunit ribosomal RNA", at positions 28 to 507 of the family's 1533-position model. The record is from RNAcentral.